AAAUCCUAAGGUGUGCGAGAGAACUCUCGUUAAGGAACUCGGCAAAAUGACCCCGUAACUUCGGGAGAAGGGGUGCUGACCGCAAGGUCAGCCGCAGUGAAUAGGCCCAAGCGACUGUUUAUCAAAAACACAGGUCUCUGCAAAAUCGAAAGAUGACGUAUAGGGGCUGACGCCUGCCCGGUGCUGGAAGGUUAAGAGGAGAGGUUAGCGCAAGCGAAGCUUUGAAUUGAAGCCCCAGUAAACGGCGGCCGUAACGAUAACGGUCCUAAGGUAGCGAAAUUCCUUGUCGGGUAAGUUCCGACCCGCACGAAAGGCGUAACGAUUUGGGCACUGUCUCAACGAGAGACUCGGUGAAAUUAUAGUACCAGUGAAGAUGCUGGUUACCCGCGACAGGACGGAAAGACCCCAUGGAGCUUUACUGCAGUUUGAUAUUGCGUGUUUGUAUCACAUGUACAGGAUAGGUAGGAGCCGAAGAUACCGGGACGCCAGUCUCGGAGGAGGCAACGGUGGGAUACUACCCUUGUGAUAUGACCACUCUAACCCGCUGCUCUUAGCGAGCAGGGAGACAGUGUCAGACGGGCAGUUUGACUGGGGCGGUCGCCUCCAAAAAUGUAACGGAGGCGCCCAAAGGUUCCCUCAGAAUGGUUGGAAAUCAUUCGUAGAGUGUAAAGGCAGAAGGGAGCUUGACUGCGAGACCUACAAGUCGAGCAGGGACGAAAGUCGGGCUUAGUGAUCCGGUGGUUCCGCAUGGAAGGGCCAUCGCUCAACGGAUAAAAGCUACCCUGGGGAUAACAGGCUUAUCUCCCCCAAGAGUUCACAUCGACGGGGAGGUUUGGCACCCCGAUGUCGGCUCAUCGCAUCCUGGGGCUGUAGUCGGUCCCAAGGGUUGGGCUGUUCGCCCAUUAAAGCAGUACGCGAGCUGGGUUCAGAACGUCGUGAGACAGUUCGGUCCCUAUCCGUCGCGGGCGUUGGAAAUUUGAGAGGAGCUGUCCUUAGUACGAGAGGACCGGGAUGGACACACCGCUGGUGUACCAGUUGUUCUGCCAAGAGCAUCGCUGGGUAGCUAUGUGUGGACGGGAUAAACGCUGAAAGCAUCUAAGCGUGAAGCCCCCCUCAAGAUGAGAUUUCCCAUCACUUUAAGUGAGUAAGACCCCUGAGAGAUGAUCAGGUAGAUAGGUUGGGAGUGGAAGUACAGCGAUGUAUGGAGCGGACCAAUACUAAUCGGUCGAGGACUUAACC
This 1239-nucleotide ribosomal RNA is filed under the name metagenome. RNAcentral's name for it is "bacterial LSU rRNA". It matches the Rfam family "Bacterial large subunit ribosomal RNA", at positions 1676 to 2925 of the family's 2925-position model. The record is from RNAcentral.